CUGGUUUUAGGCACCUCGCAUCCAAGAUACACUUUCAGUCUUGCCAAGGCCCAUCUGGACUCUGCCAUCGACUCAUGGAUCCACAGGACGGCGGUCAUUGUCAGGGAGAGCGGCUCUGGCUCUGGCUCUGGCUUGCUCUGCUAUUGACUUCUGCGUCUGUUGCUGUAACAGGUUCGAACUGUACAUGUCAGGGUCCUGUACAAGGAUCUUGCGGCUAUCAGAGAAACGAUUCUCGAGACAAUCUCUACAAUACACGAAAUGUAGCGCUAGGCAAACCGGCAAGAGCGAGUUCAUUGUUCAACAGUACACGGUUUAAUGCGGUCUCUGGUCCCGCUUGUCUGGCUGUAAAUGGUGACAGAAACACAGGAUUCGCACCUUGUAACGAUUUUCCUCACAAUCCUAGCUGUAUGCACACUGCAGAAGACGACCGUGAACCCUACUGGGAGGUUGACCUGUGUGACCUGUAUAAUAUAGCAAGCAUCACCGUCUACUGGAGAGAUUCAGAAUUUCAACGCAAUGUUGACGUCAAAGUAACCGUUGAUGGAGAGCUGUGUUACAUCUUCGAACAUCCACUUUCUAAUCCCUCAACAAUAACCUGUUAUCAGAGACUUUCUGGACAGGUCGUUAGGUUGUCAAAAACUGACUACACGACUAGAAAUAACUACUAUCUCACUUUGUGUGAAGUUGAAGUGACGGGUUCCAUGUUGACAGGCUCUGUCGUGAAUCAGCAUAGUGACAUGCGAGUUCUGUCAUAAAUGGUUAUCCCCAGUGCAAGACAUUAAUUUUAAGAAUCAUUUGUGCAUUUCAUUUUCUUUCUACUCUUUUAUUUACUUGAUUUCGCCACAGAUUAUGGAGCAGUCUCAAUUCCAAAUUUAGCGAAAACGCCCAGGAGUACACGCUCUAAAACAGAAUGAGGUCGACAUCAGAACACCGUAGACGAAAUAAAUCUUGGAAAAAACCCUCCCUCCGACAAGAAAAAGUUUGUCAUUCUGUUGUUAAGGUUGAUGAUCACAAAUUUGCAGGGUCUUGGAAGUUUCUUUCUUAUCAUGCCGCAUAUGUAACAGCUCUUUUUAAAUGAAUGGUGUGUGUGUGUGUCUGUGUGUGUGUGUGUGUGUGUGUGUGUGUGUGUGUGUGUGUGUGUGUGUGUGUGUGUGUGUGUGUGUGUGUGUGUUUGUGUGCGUGUAUUUGGCGGGGGGAUGCUUUUAAGACCACCAGGAGGAUUCUAAUACAAUACUGUAGCCGAUGAAGGUCUGUUGACAGAGUUCAGUCGUGAAACUUUCAACCUUCGGCAGCUCAAGCAGCUCCAAAACCUGGAAGUAGUCAUGGGGAAACAUAUCAAGUCAGCAUCCGAUGCUAGAUGCUCAACCUGAGGAGAUGUGACAGAAUUGUCUGCUGAAUGGACCAACCAUACAAUGUUUGCUUUCUGAAGUCCGGUCAUUAUGAAGCCAGAAAAUCUUUUGGCAAGCUUUAGAAAACAGUAAAUCAAGUGCAUUUUAUUCUUUCUUGGACCUGC
RNA transcript from Pomacea canaliculata, 1513 nucleotides. RefSeq lists it as uncharacterized. Lineage: Eukaryota; Metazoa; Mollusca; Gastropoda; Architaenioglossa; Ampullariidae. The record is from RefSeq and is a predicted model, not a curated record. The transcript is spliced from 6 exons.